UGGGCGUAAAGGGCUCGCAGGCGGUUUCUUAAGUCUGAUGUGAAAGCCCCCGGCUCAACCGGGGAGGGUCAUUGGAAACUGGGGAACUUGAGUGCAGAAGAGGAGAGUGGAAUUCCACGUGUAGCGGUGAAAUGCGUAGAGAUGUGGAGGAACACCAGUGGCGAAGGCGACUCUCUGGUCUGUAACUGACGCUGAGGAGCGAAAGCGUGGGGAGCGAACAGGAUUAGAUACCCUGGUAGUCCACGCCGUAAACGAUGAGUGCUAAGUGUUAGGGGGUUUCCGCCCCUUAGUGCUGCAGCUAACGCAUUAAGCACUCCGCCUGGGGAGUACGGUCGCAAGACUGAAACUCAAAGGAAUUGACGGGGGCCCGCACAAGCGGUGGAGCAUGUGGUUUAAUUCGAAGCAACGCGAAGAACCUUACCAGGUCUUGACAUCCUCUGACAAUCCUAGAGAUAGGACGUCCCCUUCGGGGGCAGAGUGACAGGUGGUGCAUGGUUGUCGUCAGCUCGUGUCGUGAGAUGUUGGGUUAAGUCCCGCAACGAGCGCAACCCUUGAUCUUAGUUGCCAGCAUUCAGUUGGGCACUCUAAGGUGACUGCCGGUGACAAACCGGAGGAAGGUGGGGGAUGACGUCAAAUCAUCAUGCCCCUUAUGACCUGGGCUACACACGUGCUACAAUGGACAGAACAAAGGGCAGCGAAACCGCGAGGUUAAGCCAAUCCCACAAAUCUGUUCUCAGUUCGGAUCGCAGUCUGCAACUCGACUGCGUGAAGCUGGAAUCGCUAGUAAUCGCGGAUCACCAUGCCGCGGGUGAAUACGUUCCCGGGCCUUGUACACACCGCCCGUCACACCACGGAGAGUUUGUAACACCCGAAGUCCGGUGAGGUAACCUUUUAGGAGCCAGCCGCCGAAGGUGGGACAGAUGAUUGGGGUGA
RNAcentral lists this ribosomal RNA (933 nucleotides) under Bacillus subtilis. Its description in RNAcentral is "bacterial SSU rRNA". It matches the Rfam family "Bacterial small subunit ribosomal RNA", at positions 555 to 1483 of the family's 1533-position model. The record is from RNAcentral. Lineage: Bacteria; Bacillati; Bacillota; Bacilli; Caryophanales; Bacillaceae.